RNAcentral lists this ribosomal RNA (395 nucleotides) under uncultured bacterium. Its description in RNAcentral is "partial 16S ribosomal RNA". It matches the Rfam family "Bacterial small subunit ribosomal RNA", at positions 523 to 918 of the family's 1533-position model. The record is from RNAcentral.
AUACGUAGGGUGCAAGCGUUAAUCGGAAUUACUGGGCGUAAAGCGUGCGCAGGCGGUUUUGUAAGACAGAGGUGAAAUCCCCGGGCUCAACCUGGGAACUGCCUUUGUGACUGCAAGGCUAGAGUACGGCCGAGGGGGGUGGAAUUCCGCGGUUAGCAGGGAAAUGCGUAGAUAUGCGGAGGAACACCGAUGGCGAAGGCAAUCCCCUGGGCCUGUACUGACGCUCAUGCACGAAAGCGUGGGGAGCAAACAGGAUUAGAUACCCUGGUAGUCCACGCCCUAAACGAUGUCAACUGGUUGUUGGGUCUUCAUUGACUCAGUAACGAAGCUAACGCGUGAAGUUGACCGCCUGGGGAGUACGGCCGCAAGGUUGAAACUCAAAUGAAUCGACGGGG